RNAcentral lists this ribosomal RNA (520 nucleotides) under uncultured Glomus. RNAcentral describes it as "SSU rRNA". It matches the Rfam family "Eukaryotic small subunit ribosomal RNA", at positions 569 to 1091 of the family's 1831-position model. Lineage: Eukaryota; Fungi; Glomeromycota; Glomeromycetes; Glomerales; Glomeraceae. The record is from RNAcentral.
AGCAGCCGCGGUAAUUCCAGCUCCAAUAGCGUAUAUUAAAGUUGUUGCAGUUAAAAAGCUCGUAGUUGAAUUUCGGGAUCAAUACGUCGGUCGUACCUCGGUACGUACUAACGUCAUUGAUUUCUCCCUUCUGACGAACCAUGAUGCCAUUAAUUUGGUGUUAUGGGAAAUCAGGACUGUUACUUUGAAAAAAUUAGAGUGUUUAAAGCAGGCUCACGCUUGAAUACAUUAGCAUGGAAUAAUGAAAUAGGACGUCCGAUCCUAUUUUGUUGGUUUUUAGGAUCAACGUAAUGAUUAGUAGGGAUAGUUGGGGGCAUUAGUAUUCAAUUGUCAGAGGUGAAAUUCUUGGAUUUAUUGAAGACUAACUACUGCGAAAGCAUUUGCCAAGGAUGUUUUCAUUAAUCAAGAACGAAAGUUAGGGGAUCGAAGACGAUCAGAUACCGUCGUAGUCUUAACCAUAAACUAUGCCGACUAGGGAUCGGAUGAUGUUAAUUAUUUAAUGACUCAUUCGGCGCCUUAC